UUAUUAGUCAAGUUAACUUUAGUAGAAAGUGUACAUUAUUAUAAAUAAUCUCUUUUGUGGAUUUAUCUUUGUUCAACAACAUUUAUUGGAAUCAUAUUAAUUAUAUAUUGAAACAUGUUAAGAGUUGUUUGAAAGAAAACUAAUUUGCAGUUUCUUAAACUUUUUCGAAUAAAGAAUGUCUACGAAACUUUCUUGAUCAAUCAACAUUUUUUUUUACUAUGAAACAUUUUAUCUCCACAUUUAUCACCAUUAAGUCAUCUUGUUUGGGUCUAUGGCUUUAAAAUCUGCAUUGGUGAAAAUGAUAUGUGGCAUUGGUAAAAUCUUCAACUUUCUUGAUAUUGCAUUAACAGAUUCGACUUCCACUGUCCUCAGAAGCUUCUUUUUUAGUGGUUGUCAAGGACAUUCCUCUAGUGAACCCUAUUGCAACGGAGCUUCUAUUGGUGGAUCCUAUCUCCUACGAUCAUUGUUAUCAUUUUCACAUCGUUUAUAAUAUCUUCUCCUUUCUUUAUACCUUUUGUGUUUUCUUUGACUUGUCCUCCCCUC
Molecule: long non-coding RNA, 543 nt
Filed under: Vigna radiata
Lineage: Eukaryota; Viridiplantae; Streptophyta; Magnoliopsida; Fabales; Fabaceae
Description: long non-coding RNA (VRAD_LNC001634)
Source: RNAcentral